UUAUGUGCUCAUCUAGCAAUGAUCAUCAGGAGCCCAAAGCUCCAACUCCUCAAAAAUCUGAUAUGCCCGAUUGGUACGCCACCUUUUAAUUUCAGUAUCAUAUAUGGAUUAAUCAACCUUUAAAUCAACAUUUUCUGCAUGAAAACAACAAGGGAUCUGUUUUUCCGAUGCCAAUUUAAUUCGUGCAGGAAAAAAUGGACUGUUGGGAUUGUGUUUUCCAUAAUUCUACCUGCAGUUGGACACAAAAUGGGACCUUUAAUGCUUCUCAAAAGUCAGUAAGCUUUUCUGGGCCUUGUAAAGGUUUAGUUACAGAACUACUAUAAUAGUACUAGAAUCAUUUUAAUAUACUGUCGAUCCAUUUUUAUUUAGCUGGUGGAUGGUUCUAGGCAAGGUGGAUAUGGUCAUACAAAAAGUGGACGAAGUGACAGAGGUGGUGGAAGACAUAGCUGAAGCAGCAGUAGAUGUUGUAGAAACAGUAGAGGAGAAGCUUCCUGAAGAUUCAAAGCUCAGGGAAGAGGUUCAUACUAUCAAGGAUCUAGCUGAAAAAGCCGUUGAAAAAGCAAAACAAGCUGAUGAGCUUCUUGACCAGGUAACUUUUUUGGUUUGCAAGUUUGUUUUGUGGGUUCUCUAGUUUGAUGUACUGCAGCUAAUCAUUAAACGAUGCUGAUAUAUUUAACGAAAUCUCAGAAAAUGAAAAUUCAACAAGAAAUCUGAUGAAGAUGAUGAUUCUCGAAAAUUUUGCAGAUAAAGGAUGUUGAGGAUAAAUUUAUGGAAUCGCUUAGAGGACCUGAACGCAAUGAAGCAGAAAAAGAACCAAGCAACAAAGACGUGGAUCGGUCCGUCAAGGCAUAAUUGUGCAAAGUUGGCUUCACUUAGGCUCUGUUUGUUUGGACUGAAAAUCUUUUCCAGAAAAUAUUUUCUUCAAUUUCUGGUGUUUGGCUGCAAAAGAGGUCAGGAAAAUUUUUUCCAGUAGAAAAUCUUUUACAUAACUUGGUGUAAAAUGACUUCCGGAAUUAAGAUACGGAAGUUAAUUUCCGACAACUAUCGUGACUUACUAGUCUCCUUGGUACUUGGCUAUUGUACAAAACCAUCAAGUACUACAUCACAGAGAUCAAAUCAAGAGCAACAUCCCUGCACUUGCUUCUGCAAAUUCCACAACUUUCCACCUCUUCGAGCUCCCUUCUUUCUUAUGUUCCUCCCUACUAUUCAUUUUCACUUGCUCCACACAAACACAUUUAUGGAUUAUACAAUUCUAGAUCUAAAUUGGGCUUUACAUUGAGAAGCUUUGGAGAAGGAAAAAAAAAGUGAAGCCAAUGGAGGCAGGAGGAAUACUUUUAGAAGAAGAGUUAAUACAAUAAACAUCAAGUUACAAUUUCUAAUUUCUUAUAAUGGUUCAAUCAAUAAUUUAAACUUUUUAUUACAAUGAUACUCAACUGGGUUUGGGAGAUUGUGAGUUCUUGGUUAUGGUCUUUAAUUUAUUUUUUGGGACUUGAAAGGAUUUGGAUUAGGGGUGGGCACGGGUCGGGUACCCGCCCCUAACAUGAUUUGGCUGACCCGACCCUAAUAUAUCGGAUCAGCCAUUUUGCGACCCUAACCCGCUCCUAAUAUUUUCGGGUACCCGAAUAACGGGUACCCGAAAAAAAGGGGCGGGUCAUAGGGUACCCGCCCCUAAAAAAAACUAUUUUUCAAUAAAAAAAAUUUAUUUUCUACUUAAUAUCAACAUGUUUUUCAAUAAAAAAAAACAUGCUUUUCCAAUUAAUAUUGGUAGAGAUAUUGUAAUUAAAGUCCAUACAUCACCAUUCUCACACAUUUCAUCCAAUAAUCAAAUCGAUCUCAUAAAUUUAGUACAUAUUAGAAUAUCUAAUAGACAAAACGAAGUUUCAUAAUAAUUUUGAGUACAUCACCAUUUUCACACAUUUCAUACUUCUACAACAUAACAAACACAAGGAUAAUAAGUAUUUGGUAACUUCCCCAAGGAUAAUAUGGUACAAGACCGCAUCUCAAAUAAGUCAAUUGUGAAAUCAAGUUCGGAAAAAAAUUGAAUAGAACUAAUUAUUUUUGAAAAAAAUAUAACAAAAAAUAAUGUUAAAAAUCUUUCCCAACUUCUUUACAUCUUUGGAAUAGACCUUAUGGUAUUAAGGUGAUGAAAAAGAAAAAUAAAUUUCUUACACUAAAUAAAAGAGACAAAUUAAAGAGAUAUAAUUGCAAAUGAAUGACACAAAUAUUUUAAUUAUCUAGCUAACAGAAAAUUGAAACUCCAAACAAAAAUCUUUGAUUGAAUUGAUGCAAGAUUUGCAGGAAAGAUCGAUGGAGGUAGAAUAAAAAUAAAAAAGAUGAAAGGGAUGAACAAUUUUUAUAACAGAGUUUCACAAAUUUUUUUUUUCAUUUUGUUCAUGUUUCACCGAGAAUAUUCGCUUUCUUAAAAAAAAAUGAGAAGAGUAGAUCAUAUAGGAUUAGAAUAUGAGGCUGCGAGCCACUUCACUUGCACUUAGAAUUAAAAAUUACAAAAUUAUAAAAUGAUCCCUACUUUUUUAAUAUUUAUAAAAUAUACCCUGCGGGUCGGGUACCCGCGGGUUUUUAUUUUUCUGAUCCGUAUCCGUACCCGAUUUUUCGGGUACCCGACCCUCAUCUGCCCCGCUGAGAAAAAUCGGAUCGGGUAUCCUAUUUUUCGGAUCGGAUCGGAUCGGAUUCAUCGGGUUUUCGGAUCGGCGGGUUUUUUUGCCCACCCCUAAUUUGGAUUGGGGAUUGUUUGUGGUGACUGAUGAGGUGGGUAGAGGUAAUGAUAAUUAGUAGUAGCAAUUACCGAAAGAGAAAUCUGAGGACAAUAUUAUUGUUGGAGGAUUUUAAUUUUUUUGGAACAUUUUCUUAAAAUUGCACCAAACACCAGAAAAUGAAGGGAAAAUUAGAUAUUUUCCAGGAAAGCAUUUUCAUUGAAAAUGUUUUCUUAAGGAAAAUAUUCUACAUUGAAACAAACAGACCCUUAAUGUCGUUUUGGUUCAUUAGUGAGGAUAAAUGGUGAGUAUUUUGUGUUCUAGAUUUUUGAUGGAAUAUAUAGAUUUGCAACUACGGUUUAAAAUACUCAAUCUAAUUGUAACUAACUAAUACAGGAAAGAGUUAAAGGUUUUUAAAAAUAAGUUAUUUAAAAAAAAAAAGAAAUUUUUGCUUUUCGACAAGAGAGGGGUAGUAUUUAAAAAGUCAAAGGGAAAAGAAAAUUUUAAAUUUUUAAGACCUUGAAUUCCCGAAAUCUCAAUAUUAGUCCUUAGUUCGUUUGGAUUUCUAUUUUUAGGAGCUUUUGUUUUAUUACUUUUAGAUUGCCACAAACUUUAAUAGUGGAAUAGUCUACUUUGAGAUAUUAACUUUUUUUUCCCCUUUUUGUUUGACACACUCCUUCAAUUUUUAAGAGAAAGCAGCUGCUGAAAAACCCCAAAGAAAAAAGUUUCGAAGUGGUAUUCUAUUGUCCAUAAGUUUCACAUAACCGGAAACUAUCGGAUUUUGAGCGUAGCCUGUUUAAUUAAGGGUCUUCAUUCGAGUUAAAUCCAAAAAUUAAAUGGAAUAGUUAAAAUUGAACCAUCGGCCUCGCAAAGCAGAAGUAUCAAUCAUUGUCAUUCUUAUCUGAAGGCUAUUCUAUGAUGGAAAUCUGUAUGGACUACCAAGGGAAGAAAACCAAUCUAGUGUAGCUGAUUUGACGGCCAGGCAGGGGAUCGAUCAAGUCCCUAAUGUUUAAUUAGUUGCACUAGUCUUGAUUGGAUGUGGGCUGAUUCCUUCCUUGUUCACCUGUAAAUAUUCAUUCGGGUCUGUAAAUAUUCCUUCCCUGUAGCGUAAGAGUAGGUUGGAUAGAUAAGAUUGACGCCGCUCUAAGACGGGCCAUCAUUUCAUUUAAUCUUGUAGCAUAGGAGUAGGUUUGGAUAGAUAAGAUUGACGCCGCUCUAAGACGGGCCAUCAUUUCAUUUAAUGUUGUGAACGAUGACUACAAAGUGAUGAAAAUUCGAUACAAAACCAACUGCCUAAGUUUUCGAGUCAUAAUAGUUUUAAGAAACAAUUCUUGGAAAGUGAUGUGAUGGACUUAGGGGUGUAAUCGAGUCGAGUCGAGUUCGAGUAUUGCUAUACUCGAGCUCGACUCGACUCAUAUACACCAAAGCUCGAGCUCGACUCGACCUCGAGCGAGUCCAAAAAAUCGAUACUGGAGACUCGACUCAAAAAAUUUUCUUUAGGCUCGAGGCUUGACUCGAUACUCGAGGCUCAAAAAUUUUUUUCAUUUUAGGUCUUUUUACAAUUAUGUUAUUAUUUUUUUGCCAUUAUAGGAUUUUAUUAUAAAGAAUGAUAUAUUGUAAAUUUCAUAUAACUUAUACCCAUAAUGGUCAUUUUAUAAUUAUAAUACAUAUAUAUUAUUUAAAUUAUAAAUAUAUUAUUUAAAUAACUCCGGCUCGUCGAGCUACUCGACUCGACUCGAGCUGGGCUAUUUCGACUCGAAACUCAACCCGAGUUCGAGCCGAGUCGUUGACCGAGCUACUCGCGAGUAGCUCGGCUCGCGUGCAUCCCUAGAUGGACUCCACAGAUGUUCACAUUACUACUAAGCACGGGUUUGUGAGUGAGAUUAAAAACAUCGGUGUGGUUCAUAAUGCAUGGCUUUAUUCAUUGGACUUCUUCUUGCACAAAAGAAAUCGAAUCAGGAGGACUGUAUCUCAAUGAAUUCGACAUGAAUUCAGAAAUCUAUUGAGAAACUUUGCUUCCUAUUGAUCCAAUUCCGACUUCUUUGGCCGUUGCAAUCUACUCUGGCCUUUCAAAGGGUAUCGACUAUGGAUUGGAUGGGACAUGUGGAUGAUGAAUGAAGAUAAUUCUUGGACGAAAAAAAUAUUUGUUGUUCUACUAAUCUUUGGACUCUCCAAUUUUAAGACUAAGGUGAUCACAGUACAUGACUGAUCAAAGAGUUGGAGAAUCCUCUCUUGAUCAUGGUUUGCCAUCGUGGGUAGCGGUCACGUCGCGGUCUCAGUUGUUCCACGUCCGUCGCGGCAUAUCGGUUAAAUAUUGGAUGAUACGCACAUUAUAACACAUGAAAGUUUUCAAAAAUUUUUUAAAAAUUACUAAAAUUAGAAAAUAUCAAAAAAAAUGCACAAUUUAAAAAAAUAUCCGAGUCGAUUCCGAAUUGUUUCGGAUACAUCGGCCGAUAUCAUGCAUCACGGAUUCGAAUCGACCAAUAUCGGCCUAGUCAGAGCGAGUCGUCACCGAUAUGCUAAUACUCGCGACUCAGAGAUCGAUAUCGUACCAGCCCUCUCCGUUUCGGUUACAACUCGACCGAUAUCGCAAACCAUGCUCUUGAUGUACCUUCACCUCCUGAUUUCUUCGUCCAAGUUGAAUAUAUAUGCAGAAAGCCUGGUGUCUGAUCUGUUCCAGCUCGAAAAUUGUACGUCCAUUCAAACAAGAAACAAAAGAAGGAGAUGGUAGGACUAGGAGUUAAGAGUUUAGCGCGAAGCUAAUUACGUCCUUCACCUUUGUUCGCUAAUUAAGACCGGCCUUUAAUUUCAAAUUUCCAAUUUCAAAUAAAUUCAGCCUCUAGUGAUGAGUGCCCAAGCCAUUAGAUUAGACAACCUCUUAAGGCUCUAAUGAGUUGGGAGUUGUAACUAGUUCUACCAUCACAAGGCGUGAACAAGAAGACAGAAUGAGGUAGACGCCUUUGCAUGAAAAAUGCAUAAAGUCAGGAUAUGAACGCCAAGCAAUAUUUGAAGGAAAGCACGCAUGCACUUGAGGCAGAGCCUCACCCUUACAAUUGAGUUUCUUUUUCUUCUCUCUCUUUCCAGUUCUAUGUUCAACAUACACAAGAUUCCGUCAGGAGAAAAGUAAUCUUCAUUCUAUAACAAAAAUUAAGAAAGAAAUUCUACCAACAACACAAAAAUUCCUUUCUUUCCUUUUCCCCUUCUACUUCAGCAUUCUAAUCGAAUCAGGAAUACAAAAAUUACUAGCCCUACAAUAACAUACUUUAUCUAUACACAAAAGGUGGUAACAUGGCUAUUUGCUCAAUAUUGGCAUUGUUUUUGCUUUGGUUUUGUCCCUAAAAUUUUUGGCCCUCCAACAAAUACUUUCUUGCAAGUUGCAGCCCCAAUAAGCAGGUUCAAGUAAUAUUUGCCGCAGCUUCGGCUGCAUAAGAUGGAGAUGGGAGAGAAUUCAAACACCUCAAUCCCAUUCUCGCCAACGAAAUCAUCAUGGAAAUCUUGCAUAGACUCCGCGUGAAAUCCCUGGUUCGAUUUCGUUGCCUCUGUAAGUUCUGGCAAAGCCUGACAACCUCAGAGGCCAACCGUCGCUCGGGCGGUUAUUGCGGCACAGAAACAAAACAUCAGGAGUUGAAGAAGCAAAUAGGAGAUUCUGGGGAAAGCAUUCUCAAAUAGUGAUCCACCAUUGUUUCUGGGAACUGAUAUAAACAUGUCAGGCUCCAUUAACGGGGUGUUUUGCCUUACUACAUCUUGUUAUUUCCGGGUCAUUAUCGACAUUCUAAUUUAUAUCUAUGGAAUCCAGCUUUGCACCAAUUCUGGACUGUUCCACAGAGCUAUUAUCAAAGCAGUCAAUAUUAAUUUUUCUGUCUGGUCGUAGGCUUCUUAUUUGAGGAAUUGGCUGAUGACUAUAAAGUUGUGAAAGUUUUCUAUGAGAUGCAAAGCCUCAAAUGUGAGAUGUAUAGUUUGAGAAGCAAUUCUUGGAAACUGAUCAACUUGAUCGAUUGUGCAUGGAAAUGGGAUGACAGGUUGGCUAUAGAACAUAAAGGCUGUCUCCACUGGACUGGUUACAAGUUACAACUCGAACAAAUCAAGAAUGAUGCUGGACAUGUUUGACCCACGUUUACAACAUUUUGAAGAAUUCUUUCUUCCUUUUGAUGUCUCUAUUCUAUUUGCAGGUACAAGUGAUUUUUGGAUAUUCGAAGGGUGGCUUUCUAUAUUUGAUUUUUCAUCACGCGAUGAAUGUGAAAUCUGGAUGAUGAACGAACAUGGUGUACAUAAUUCCUAGACCAAGCAAUACAGGUUACGAUAGCUUCCUAUACUAUGGGAGAGGGGGAGGACCUGAAGAGAUCCAAAGGUAACUUAACUCGGAGGGGACUGAACCACCACCGAAUCAGACGAGUGUACUAAGUACUCGUCUGGAUUUUUUAAACAAGACAACAUUUAAUUGUAGCAAAAACUUGCCUCCCACCCUACUAAGCUUAAAUGCUUUGGUGGUGGCUACCAGCCCAAAGGUUGGUGGUUAAUACAGGUUCUCAUAUCCCGGGAUUUUGAUACCAUUCCUCGCAGGGGAACUAGAGUUAUUACAGCACAUGGAAAGCUUUUAGCUGUUAAGAAAGGUCAUAUUAUCCUAUAUGAUCCAGAAACUCAACGAGCUGAAGAAAGUUUGCAGAUUAAGGUCACGAAGGAUGACUUUCAAAAUCACUUCUUCUUAAUGGAUUAUAUAGAAAGCUUGGUGUCUCUUAUUCCUACUCAAUCCGGUGAAAGAAAUUGGGACAUGGGAAAAGAGAUGCAUUCAGAAAAGAAAUGAAAAUUAAAACAUAAAUAAGAAAUUUUGUGUUAAGAUUGGAUUGUUUGGUUGCUUUCUGUCAGGAAGAUGACAACAAAAUUAUUUAGUUUCAAGGUGAGUUUUAACUUUGGUAGCUUGUUUAGUGACUUUUAUUAUUAUUAUUAUUAUUAUUAUCAAAACAUAUGCUAAUUAAUUUCUUGCCUAUGAUCUUAGUGACUAGAUGAUGAUUCAUCUGAAUGAUAAGAGCAUAGUCUUUCGUUUACUACAAGACUCACAUUUGUUUUAUUUGAAAGUCUUUUAAUGUAGAGUUAAACUCUUGUCAGUUUGGUGCAAAAGCUGCAUUGCUAGAGACUAGUAAAAGACUGCUUGCUAAAUUUGGAAGGUGAAUCCAAUAACAACCACAACAGAUCAAAUCAAAGUAUGGGGAAAAAGAAAAGACAAAUGCAAAAAGAAGGCGUGAAUUCCUGUCUUCUAAGAAGAACCUUUCGAGGCAUUGAUGCGUGCAAGAGAAAAGCCGAGUAGUUCCUUUCUGGGAAAACCGGUUGUACUCGUAUCAUCAAGUAGGCCUUGGUGGCUCUAAAAGAUGCCACAGGUAUAAAUUCCAAUAGCAUAUUUCUGGGCUCCUUCAUAGGAUGACUGCAAAAUGGUGAGAAUUUUGUAUUCAGCAGCGCAAAACAAAAUAUAUAUAUAUAUAUAUAGGUGAAGUAAGACUUCGUGUACAUUACACCACACAAACAUAGUUAUAGAAUCAGGUUCGGUCCAAAAAUCGAACCGUUCAACCUAAUAAAUCGAUCAUUAAACUUGGCCAAGUUUCUGGUUUGACUAGAUAAAGAAUUGAUCCAGUCAAAAUAGUUUGAUCCGUCGAUUCAACUGAAACCUACUUGGUUUCUAGUUGAUUUUUCUUCUUUUCUUUUCUUUUUUUUACAAUUUUGGAUCUUUUUUUUUAACCAAAUUGUAUAUGUGGUUUUGAAAAGAUUUUUGGACAUUGGAUCUCCUUUUCUAUGUGUGUAAGACUUUCUUAGUUUUUAUUUGAUAACUAAAUACUCCCUUAAAUAAAUUUGAUCACUUUUUUUUAUUGUACAAUUAAUCCUUUUAGCUUCCAAACUAAAAAUGUUAUCAUUAUAUAAUACUAUUUGACUAGUUAGAAAAUUAUUUUGUUUUUAACCAAGAGCAAAAUAAUAAAAAAUGAUGUUAUUUCCUUGAAGAUAAGUGAAAUAAUUUUGCUUCAUAUUUGACUACAUAAUUUAUUUGUGUAUAAGUACGAUAAAAUAUAAUUGGGUCUUCUAUUAAUGUUUAUAUGUUCAUAAUAUAUCCUUUUAAGUACUAUAAUUAGUAUCUAAAAAUAUUUUAUUAUACAUAUUAUGUAUAUUGAAAUUAUUAUUUGUACUUAUAAAUAUUAUUUUAGUCAUUCACCAAUUGAACCAAUGAUUCAUUGACUCGAUCCUUUUGCCAAGUUCCUUACAUGGUCGAGUUUAAUAACUAUGCAUACAACAGCAUCGUGAUAUCUAUUUGCUUAAUUAUUAUAUGGUGCAAAAUCCUGUCUUAUUUACUUUGCUUCAGCUACAUAUUUUAUUAAAUUUUAACAGUCAACUUCUUCUUUAAAAAAGACAAAAGAAAAAGUCAACUUCUUCUUCCAAAAAGACAAAAGGAAAAAUCAACUUCUUGAAACCCUUGUCUCUAGCAACUUGAAGUACAAUCGGGAGUUAUCCCAUGCGUUAGCAAUAGGACAGGAUGAUUUUCCUAUUGGAUCAUGAUACCUAAGAAUCUAUCUAAUCCUUUGUUCAUCUCCAAAAUACCUUAGGCAUAGCUAAUCUUUCCCUUGAUUGCCAUAUGCAUCAAUCUAUUUAGCUUCACAAACCUCUGAUGGACUUGUAAACAUUAAAUAGCACCAGAGGAAUCAGGGAUCAAACUGCAGCCACCUUUAAUAAAAUAUACUUUAAGAAUUAAUUAAUUGAUUCUACUGAGCAAAUUUGUUAAUUUCGAUGUCUCUUACUAUUAGGAUAAGAGUAAGGGUUAAAAUCAAAAAGUGCUUCCGGGAAAUAUGCAUAAUGGUCCUUGGUUCUUGCUUGAUGUCUCAGGUGUUAAAGCACGGCAAAAAAGGCAUCGGGGAUGGCAAGGUAGAGUAUAUGGCAUGUUUUAAACGCAAUUAAAGUGGAUGGUAUCAAGGAGUAAUCUAGACUACGACUAGUAAGUGAAAAGCAUUUAUACAGCGAAUUAUUUGUAUAAAUUCAUUUGCUUAUAUCAUUCAUAUAUCUUUCAACCAUCAUUCUGUCAGUUUUCUUUUUUCAAAAUAUUCUACUAUCCAAACACGUAUUUUGGUAUUAAAAAAAAAAGAAUCUAAUUUAAACUCUAUAAGUGACCCUGGCCCUCCACAUAUAAUUAUAUUUUAAGUGUCAAGAUCAUUUGUUUAAGGUCAAGAACUUUUAGUAAUAUGCAAAAUUCAUUUUUACCUGAAGAGGCAAGUUUUUCCUUUUCAUGGAAUCCAUUUCUUUUUUUCACUUAGGAUAUUUCAUUAUUUCGAUUAGAUUAAUCCCCUAAGAUUAUGUAGAACUUUAUCAAUACACAAUAAAAUAGCCCAUAAAAAUUAAUCACGAAACCUCCCGGUAACUAUCAAUCUACACAACUUGUGAUUUUUACGCAUGGAUAAGUCAUGGAAUCCAUUGACUGUGACUUUUAGGCAACGAGUUACUACUUUGCGUCUGCCCGCAAGAAAAGAACUUCGAACUUUUUCAGAAAACAAAACUUCAGAAAUAUAUCAAAAGAUUGCCCACCAGCUCUUAUCUACACCUUUUCUGGGUCCCAUUAGUCCCAUGAAACCUCAUUCGAUUUCUUGCACCAUUGUUUACUCUCCAAUCCAUCAUUCUCCCUCUUCUGCUGAUGAGAUCAUUCACCUACUCUGCUAUCUGUAAUUGAAAAACCACCCAAAGCCCACCAACCAGAACAGAUUUUGAGUUGAUAACAAGAAUCCUUGCAGGGUUUGAGAUAGGGCUGCCGGCCAAGAAAGAACACUGCUGGUAAAUGGCUAAUGAGAAAGAAAAUCCUAGAGGAGGCUCGUAUGGACGAGGUGAUCAUCAAGAAAUGGUUGCUGGUCUAUUGUUUUCUCAGAAACCCGGAUUUGAUCUCAUGCAGAACUGUGAUUUACCACCACCAGUGAAGAUUUUUGCUGGUCAUGAUAAGACGAUUGUGUCACCGAUGAAUAACGUUUACAGCAUGAUUGCCGGGCAGAAAGAUGAGGAUGUUGGGGUGGAAAUGGCUUACGACAAAACUUCUGAGACUGAAAAAUUGGAGCUUCUCAAGGCCUUGAGAUUAUCUCAAACACGAGCAAGAGAGGCAGAGAGGAAAGCUGCUGUUUUGUCCAGGGAGAGGGAUGAUCUUUCUAACCUGUUGCUGCAACAAUCAAUGCAUUUAUUUGCUUAUAAGCAAUGGGUGAGAAUGAUGGAACUCCAAUUGCCUAAACUGAAUAAGCACCAAGAAAAACGAGAGCUUAGUUCUGCUGCAACCAAUUGGGAGGGAAAUAUGCCUAAGGAGGAAGGCGAAAACAAUGGAGAAAAAGGCAUGACAUGGCUGGUGACCGUGGCAAUCUGUGUGGGCAUUGCUGGGUUUGGAUUUUACAAUUUCUUUUCAAGUUACUAUUGAUAUUUUUAUUAUCCUCCCAAAUUUUAUUAAUUGUACAUAAUUACAGACUAGUUUUUCACUGUUCAGUUUUCUGCUUCAUAAAACAGAAUUACACGCAUAUUCAUGUGACAUUACCAAGCUGAGAGUUCAGAUGUUAAAUGAAAACUCAUAUCCUUCUUAAUCAGACCAAUACCGGUCGAGGAGAGAAAAUUUACAGAUUCUCUAAGCAUAUUUACAAAAGGCAAUGUUUUUGUGCGACUUCUACAGUCUAAUGCAGGUCUCCAAUAAUAUAUACUCUUGUACAUCAGGCUACUACAUUAACACAGGCAAGGCAGUAUAUGUACAGAUGGGGAAUGAAAUUGUUAGAUUCCAUAUUAAAUAAUGGCAAGGUGUAUAGACCUCAAAUGAUUAUAGCAAUCAUCAGCACUUCCGAAGAAUUCCAGACAGACCCAACAAACAUGCUUCCCGCACCUACACUCAAUAUGGUUGCAUCCGUCCACUUUCUCAAUUGUAAACCUGCACACAGGGCACUUUUUCACAUUUUCUUUCCCAGCGCACCAUUCCUUCAAAGAUGAAUCAGGGUCAACUUUAAACUCCUUGUACUUCUCACAUGACAAGAAUGGAUGAUACUCCAGGUGGCACCUAGUACACGUCUCCACAUAACAUGCAUCGCAGACAAACGGAGCACCGGCCUCAGUUGCUCGAUAAACUGAAGGGCAGUCGGGAGAGGGGCAAAACCUGUAAACUCCACCACUUCCCACCACAAAUGCAGCCAGAGAAGCCCUGAAAAGUUCUUCGAACUUCUCACCCAGCAAUAGAGACCUUAAAUCCGUUAGCAACACAGAAGCCCCACAACCUUUCCGUGCACAACGUAUUGGAAAGCUGUCCUGGCUUUUAAUUGCAGAGUCGCACUGCUCCACUAAACAUGAUCUGCAGAACUCAUGUCUGCACAGUUCAAGCUUGUAGCUAUCCUCCACUUCACACAAGCAAAUGGGACAGGUAGCCUCCUCGUUUCCAUUUUUAUUCGGUGAACCGCUAGUCCGUGCAAUCUCAUAGAUUCUCUCUUCAACUUUUUGCUUCAGGUCUUUUGUGCCCCCAAGACCUUGCCCUUCCUUCAGGUCUUCUACUCCUUUAAGACAGAUGCAAUGCCGCUUCGUAUUCAAGGAAAACUCUGCCCCUGGAAACAUUUCUUUAAGCGAAUGCAGAUCCGGACCAAACUUCUGAACAACCCUUUUCAUCAGAUCAGGAGGUAAAACUGCACCACGAAGAUGGACUUCCAGUUGCUUGUUCUCAUGCAGUCUGAGAAGGGAUUUAACAAGUCUCUUUUUGGCAACCUCAAUCUUGGCUGUUGUGCCAAAAACCCUCAAACUGAGGGCUUGCUUGUCAAAAAGAAUAUAGGUUCCUGUCUCCCGCUGAAUCGUAUUCAAAACAUUGAGACCAUCACGAGAGAAAAGCAACUGCAAAACUGUUGGAGUGAUUGCUGCAUCGUCUAUACUGUUGCCUUUCAUGAGCCCCUCCAAUGGUCUUCUCAAUUCUGCCACUGUUUUGGUAGCAGUUGCAGAUAUCUUUACUCGACAUGAACCAUUCUCAUUUACUUCCAUAUUGCAUUCAACACCUGGAAACAAUCAAAACCAAUAUUCAAUUAUCACAGUGGAUUGGUUCAUUUAUAACCUUUUAAGAAUUUUAACUAGGGCACUUCUAAAACCAUAAGCACACAAACAUGCUGAUAAUUUCAAGGUUGCUUCAUAUGCCAACCAUAUGCAGUUACAGCAGCUUAAAUGUCUAAAAAGAGCUCCAAAAAUUUUUUUUAAAAAACAAGGGUCUAAAAAGAGGUUGCCACAGCAAAGACAACAUGGCAACAUGGCUAAUACAGGAGUGCUACACCAACAAAUGGAGUUGCAAUUGAUGAAAAAAAAAAAAAGAUGGCCAUAUGUGUUGUACUUCCCUGCAAAUUCCAUCACAUAUUCUGGAUCAAAAUUUUCUUCAAAGCUGUUGUUUUGCAUCAAGUUACUCAUCAGGAUGUGCUGUAUUUAGAGUUGCACUUUACAUUAAACAGCACCAAUACAAGUACAAAAAAGCACAAAGUCUAAUCCACCUAUAGCACCUCCUUAGUACUGAAAAAGAAAGGGAGUCUAAAAAGGACACCCUAACAUGGGUAUGUGGGCAUAUAUAUAUCAAACAAAUAUCACUAAGUUUGACAUAUUCAAGAGGGAAAAUGGCGGAAAACCACUUCUCUAUCAAAUUUCAAAGAAAAAUUCAGGCCAAUUUCAUCUGAAGAAAAGCUUUUCACCACAGAAUUACCCAUCCUGUGUCAGUACUGCAGUGGCUAAAGAGAAAAGUAUUUUACAAACAGACAAUCCCUUUCUCUUUAAAGAAGCAAAAGAGAUUUAAUUAUUUACAGCCCCAAAGGAAGGGGGGGGGGGGGGGAUCACCCAUAGACACUGCCACAGUUCAGCUGAAAAUGAGAAGCCAUAAAAUUUCAGCCUGUUGGUCAGUACUUGUCCAUGAAAGUCAAGUAUGCCAACUCCACUAGGCAAAAUGCAAAAUGCAUUACAAUCUUCAGCUGUUUAGAAGGAAUUUGUUAUAUUCAACCACUUAGAUAUUCAGACAAAAGCACAACUGUGAGAUUUUAUAAAUUCAAGUCAUUUACCAGAAAGGUAUAGAAGAAUGAAUUUAAAGCAUCAGUAAAUUGUGAGAUAUCUUGGGAACAACUAAAAAUUGAAACCAAAAAAUCUAUAAAGCCAGAAAUGAAGUAAAAACCACUAUAAGAUCCAAAGGCAAACAAAGAAAAAAACAUAAUUAUUAGUUGAAUCAGUUGCAUAUUACUGUGAGAUAAAAUAAGAAAGUGUCAUCUUUUCUCAUGUUGAAGCAGUCACAUAAAUACUUUUAUGUGCCUCAGAAAAUUUAUGGUUCAAGCUGUAUUAUUAGAGCAUUGAAAAUGAGAAUGCACACAUAAUGAAUCAAUUCUUGUUCCCAAGAAGGAAAAUCAAAAGAUUCAAACCUUUUCGGCAACGGAAGCUCUUGACUAAAUGAUCCAGCUGACUCCUUAUAACCAAGUAAACAGAUGCAGGACACCAAAUGGAGCUAUGAAACAAAUGCUGGCAUUUCAUCUUCUGCCAUGAGAAACAUCCCGGCAAUGCUUUUCCAUCAAUUUCAUCCAAAGCUCUUGCAGCCUCCAGAUGCAGACUCCCAUUAAACAUAAUUGUGGCUCUCAUGUAAGUGUCCUUUGGUUCUGGCUGGGAUACCUGGACACGGACGCAGCUGCCAAGAGGGUUCGUUUUAGGCAUAAAGACAGAUAUUUCUCUCAGAAGUGCUUCUUCACAAGCAGCAGGUGAAGGACCUUCCACAGUGUUUCCCCUCAACAAGAAAAUAUCACGUAUUUUCCUAUUUGUUACAGUAUAUAAAACUUCAAAAAUUUCAUCUUCAGAAAUUUCUCUAUCAAGUCCUGUAAUCACAACACUGUCCAUGUACUUUGCGCUUGGUUCACAACGAGCAUACCUUCCUCCAAUUAUAAUGUCCGAGAAAUCAUUUACCAGGGCUUCAAUAUCCUCUUGCUCACACUUAACAAUUGCUAUGCCUUUACUGUAUCUACGAGGCCAACAAACUUUUGCUCUGAGAUCAGGAAAGGGCAAUUUUUUAUCACUACCAUGUGUGCUCCGUGAAGGAAUGACCUUCAGCAAGCCGCCACAUAACUCAACCAGAUUAAGUUGAGUAGCCCUCUUUGCAGUAUCAGGUGAGAGAAAUGUAAUCCUUCCCCAUUUCUCCUGCUCCUCACUUUCUUGGCCGACAGCUGAAAACUUAUGGACAGCACAAAUAGUGCCCGACGUGGAUUUCUCCAGAAACAUCAAUAGCUCCUUGUCAUUAACACAAUUCAUAUCUGAAUGAAAUAUGUCAAUGGUCAAACAGCUCUUUUCAAGCUCUAGAUGCUUGAUCUCACCACCAGCUCCAAACAAAGCUACAGAAGGUGAGACAGCGGGCCCUCCACUGUACAAGCGUUUCUCCAAACACUCAUUUUGCAAUAAUCUCACUUCAUACUGCAAUGCAUCAUUCACAAAGCCAGAAACCUUGUCCAUGUCCUUUGAAGAAGCAUGCAACCAAACUUCAUUCUCAUUUACCUUUACUUCAACACCGAUUCGUUCAUCCACACAUUCUGUUCUGAUACAUGAAACAAGACGAUGCAGACAACUAUUAGCUUUUCCACAGAACCUUUUCAAUAGCAAACUGCCAAACCCUGUCAAAACCCUAAUGUGAAGCUUCUCACUUUCCAUCUUGGAGAAAUCAAACGAAGGAGGUGGACAAACAGCAGCCAAAGAUUUGAAAUCAAAUGCAGUAACACAUACCAAAUAUUGGUAAGAUGCUGAAAGAAUUUCACCAAAAACAACCCAACUAGGUCUUUGAUCAAAAACAAGUAAAGAACAUGAUGGAUGUAGUGGGAUAUGUUUCCUUGUAAGCGCCACUUCAUAUCCAAGGUGAUCAUAACCAGAGUACAUAGCUACAUUUUCCACAAAAGCAGAAAGUAUAAUGCUUUUAAGAGUCUCAUCAUGCUCAGUAUGAAUCUGUGGAUUCCAGCGCCAAUAACUUGGGAUAAUAAUGCUUAGUUCAUUUUGAAGGCAAGAUUCCAGUUCUUGAACUGCCUCUUGGCAUCUUCGCAUGGAUUUUGCAUUGAUGCUGUUCUCCCAACACCAGAUAUUCUUCCUCACAGGAGGCACAGCGUCCCAAUCUUUGUAAACAGCAAGCAAAGUGAAGAGAUCACCGCUCUGAUGACAGAAUUGGACCUUAAGGCGGUCAGAUUUUAGUUUGCUUUCUUCAGAACCAACUCUACAAAAUAUGCUGCUGGAAUUUGCCAUGACAGCAGCAAGAACAAUGCCCUCCCUACCAAGGCGGUUACGGAAGCAUUUCAGAAUUAUUUUCCCAAGCCGAGGUUCAAUUCCCAACCUAACCAAGUCAUACCCUUCCGAAGUCAAUUCAUAAAGAUUAUUCCUUUGGGUGACAGCUCCAAGUUGAAUAAGAUUUCUGAGGGCCAUCUCAAUUGCCUUUGGACUAGGUGCAUCAACAAAAUCAAAAUCCUGCACAUUCUUGAUACCCAAAGCAAGAAUUCUCAGAACUGCAACACCAAGGUGCACCCUGCGAAUUUCAGGUUCCUGGUGAGGAGGCAUUAUCUCAAAAUCACUCUCAGAGUAAAGCCUGUAGCACGUCCCAGGUUCAGUCCUCCCAGCACGGCCAGCCCGUUGAUUAGCAGAACUCUGGCUGACCCUGCAAACCCUGAGAACAUUCGUGCCAGUACCAGGCUCAAAUUUACUCUCCUUCACCAUGCCCGAGUCAACAACGUAUUUAACGCCUGGAAUGGUUAAAGAAGUCUCAGCAACAUUUGUUGCAAAUAUUACUUUUCUUUUUCCUGGAUAGUUCGCAAAAACUUGAUUUUGCUCUUCAAAAGUCAGUUUCCCAUGUAGAGGUAAUGCAAUAGCUGAAGGAGAUCGGAAAUUCUCACAAGCCCACUCAACCUCCAUUUGUGAAGUUAAGAAGGCAAGAACAGUUCCUUCUUUAUCCAUUUUAUGGAUCUCAUAAACCAUCUUCACAACAUCAGAAACGUAAGGUGCAACCAUGCUAGAAUCAGAUUUGCCCUCAGAUUCACAAGGUACAUAGCGGAUAUCAACAGGAAAGUUUCUGCCAGCAACACGAAAGGUUCCACAACCAAAAAAGUAAUUCGCAAGCUGUUCUGCAUCAGCUGUCGCAGACAUAAUGACAAGCCUCAGAUCAAGCCUCUGAUGUAGUAAUUUCUUAAUCAUCGCUAAAAGAAGAUCAGUAUUUAAGCUUCUUUCAUGUGCCUCAUCAAUUAUAAUGCAUGAAAUCCGGGAUAAAUUCUUAUCACGCAUGUAGUGCUGCAGUAAGGAGUGAUCUGUCGUAAAUAUUACCUUGGAAUUGUAGUUCUGACUAGAUGAAUAAGAUGGAUAACAGAUGACUGAAUGAUCUUCAUAACAACCACGACUUUCCUCCUUAACCCUCUGUGCCAAUGAAACUGCAGCAAGUUUACGAGGCUGAGUGCAAACAAUGGAUCCCUUACCAGCCACACCAGAAUCAGCAAGAAACUGAACCAAUUGCGUACUCUUUCCAGAACCAGUCUCCCCAAUCAAAACUGUAAUCUGAAACAUUGGACAAGAGAAAAGACACAAAAAUGAAUAGAAUGAGAGCAGCAGCUAUAUACCACCUGAAGCAUAGAGAGAGGGAGAGAGGUGGGGGUAAAUACCAUGAAUCAUCACAUGGUUAACAACACCAUUCCUGACUACCAUAAAAAAUUAGAGCUGAGUACAAGAACUUUACAAAUACACCAUAUACACCUUCCACCCCCGUGCUACCCAAAAACAAAAAGACCACAACAUGAGAAAAGGAAAAUGCGACACAAAUAAAGCCACAAGGAAACACAAAAAAAACAUACCACCAUGUCCUCUCUCCUGCUGAUUCCUUCUCUCUACUUCCAAUCCCCUAUGGUCAUCUAGCGGCUCAAAAUGUCCUUAAAACAAAAUAAUACCAGAAAAAAAAAAGCAUAUCUUACAGGCUAUCAUGCUUCCAAUCCUAAAGAGAAAUAUGAAUAGAUGUUUAAGCAUUCACCACAGUUCAUGUCUGACAGAAAAGAUUAUAUGUUCUUGGCUGGUGUAUCAUAAAUCUAAAAAGACAACUAGACGCACAACAGGAGGGAUGAUUUCGCAAAGAAAGGACGCACAACAGACUCUUCAAACCUAAAACAGCAAAAGUAAAAACAAAGCGUUGAU
Molecule: long non-coding RNA, 17873 nt
Filed under: Coffea arabica (coffee)
Lineage: Eukaryota; Viridiplantae; Streptophyta; Magnoliopsida; Gentianales; Rubiaceae
Description: long non-coding RNA (CARA_LNC004948)
Source: RNAcentral